GCAAACUUGGUCAUUUAGAGGAAGUAAAAGUCGUAACAAGGUAACCGUAGGUGAACCUGCGGUUGGAUCAUUACAAAAAACUUGAUUUGUUGGGCGAUAAAUUUCCCCUUCAACAUCAAUAUCCACCUUUUUGUGAACUGUUUUUGUAUUUUGGCGGCCCACAUGACCUGCGUGAUCCAGGCUCAUGAGGCGGUCAGUGCCCUUGCUUCGGUACGCCGCGGCAUGCGGAUCACCUAACUGCCAGGGGUCGUCAGCUGUUUUUUUAAACUCUUGUCGUUUUGUGCCUGUGAAAGUGUCGUCCUCCAAUUUUGCGAGGAGUUUUUUAUAAAUUAAAAAACAACUUUUGACAACGGAUCUCUUGGCUCUCGCAUCGAUGAAGAACGCAGC
This 387-nucleotide unclassified non-coding RNA is filed under the name uncultured fungus. RNAcentral's name for it is "partial contains small subunit ribosomal RNA, internal transcribed spacer 1, and 5.8S ribosomal RNA". The stretch from base 1 to 73 matches the Rfam family "Eukaryotic small subunit ribosomal RNA", at positions 1759 to 1831 of the family's 1831-position model. Lineage: Eukaryota; Fungi. The record is from RNAcentral.